This 65-nucleotide transfer RNA is filed under the name Lauridromia dehaani. RNAcentral's name for it is "tRNA-Asn". Lineage: Eukaryota; Metazoa; Arthropoda; Malacostraca; Decapoda; Dromiidae. The record is from RNAcentral.
UUGACAAAAACCAAAAAGAGGUAUAUCACUGUUAAUGAUAAAAUUGAAAUUAAUUUCUUGUCAAG